ACCUGGGUGGCUCAGUUGGUUAAGCAUCUGACUUUGGCUCAGGUCAUGAUCUCAUGGUACGUGGGUUCGAGCCCCGCAUCAGGCU
Molecule: transfer RNA, 85 nt
Filed under: Felis catus (domestic cat)
Lineage: Eukaryota; Metazoa; Chordata; Mammalia; Carnivora; Felidae
Also listed under: 4 other names
Rfam family: tRNA
About the family: Transfer RNA (tRNA) molecules are approximately 80 nucleotides in length. Their secondary structure includes four short double-helical elements and three loops (D, anti-codon, and T loops). Further hydrogen bonds mediate the characteristic L-shaped molecular structure. tRNAs have two regions of fundamental functional importance: the anti-codon, which is responsible for specific mRNA codon recognition, and the 3' end, to which the tRNAs corresponding amino acid is attached (by aminoacyl-tRNA synthetases). tRNAs cope with the degeneracy of the genetic code in two manners: having more than one tRNA (with a specific anti-codon) for a particular amino acid; and 'wobble' base-pairing, i.e. permitting non-standard base-pairing at the 3rd anti-codon position.
Source: Rfam by way of RNAcentral